UAUUGGGUGGAUGGUGCUGCAAGGAGAGCCUACAAACAUUUCCGAGAUUGCAUUUCAUUCGACACGACGUACCUCACCAAUAUGUACAAGAUGCCAUGCGCUCCGUUCAUAGGAAUAAAUAACCACAAUCAGUCAUUGCAGUUCGGCUGCGGGCUCGUUUGGAAUGAAGACAUGGAAGGGUACGUUUGGCUAUUCAAGACCUUCUUGGAGUGCAUGGAUGGACUUGCUCCGAUGAACAUAAUAACAGACCAGGAUUUCAGCAUGCGUGCAGGCAUAGAGGGGGUCUUUCCGUUAGCAGUGCACAUGCACUGCAGGUGGCACAUUAUAAAGAAGGCUGAGGAGACGCUAGAACCAUUCUUUGCUGACCGUCCAGAGCUCCACAAGGCAUUCGAGCUGUGCGUGGACCACAGCUUGACGGUGGAGGCGUUUGGAAGGAGCUGGAUGGCCAUGAUUGAAACAUAUCAAGUCCAAGACAACGAGACGCUUGCUAGCAUGUGGGAGAAGCGAAUGUACUGGGUGCCGGCCUACUUCAUGCAGUGCUUCUUCCCCUUUCUGCAGACUACGCAGCGCAGCGAGGGGUUCAAUGCUGUUUUGAAGCGGUACGUGAGCCCUGGCAACUCAUUGCUACAGUUUGCCAAGCAGUACACAGCUUUGCAACAAAAAAUUCUGGGAUCUGAGCUACAGCAAGAAGCUACCACCACGCUAAAGCAGCCGAGAUUGCUAACGUACUUACCGAUUGAGAGGCAAAUGAGCAAGAUAUACACAAACAAGAUCUUUAACAAGUAA
RNAcentral lists this ribosomal RNA (786 nucleotides) under Triticum aestivum (bread wheat). RNAcentral's name for it is "partial small subunit ribosomal RNA". Lineage: Eukaryota; Viridiplantae; Streptophyta; Magnoliopsida; Poales; Poaceae. The record is from RNAcentral.